UGGUGGAGUGGUUUGUCUGGUUAAUUCCGUUAACGAACGAGACCUUAGCCUGCUAAAUAGCUACGCGUAGCUUCUGUUACGCGGGCAGCUUCUUAGAGGGACUUUGCGUGUCUAACGCAAGGAAGUUUGAGGCAAUAACA
Molecule: ribosomal RNA, 140 nt
Filed under: uncultured eukaryote
Lineage: Eukaryota
Description: partial 18S ribosomal RNA
Rfam family: Eukaryotic small subunit ribosomal RNA
Source: RNAcentral